CCUACGGGGGGCAGCAGUGGGGAAUAUUGCACAAUGGGCGCAAGCCUGAUGCAGCCAUGCCGCGUGUGUGAAGAAGGCCUUCGGGUUGUAAAGCACUUUCAGCGGGGAGGAAGGCGGUGAGGUUAAUAACCUCAUCGAUUGACGUUACCCGCAGAAGAAGCACCGGCUAACUCCGUGCCAGCAGCCGCGGUAAUACGGAGGGUGCAAGCGUUGAUCGGAAUUACUGGGCGUAAAGCGCACGCAGGCGGUCUGUCAAGUCGGAUGUGAAAUCCCCGGGCUCAACCUGGGAACUGCAUUCGAAACUGGCAGGCUAGAGUCUUGUAGAGGGGGGUAGAAUUCCAGGUGUAGCGGUGAAAUGCGUAGAGAUCUGGAGGAAUACCGGUGGCGAAGGCGGCCCCCUGGACAAAGACUGACGCUCAGGUGCGAAAGCGUGGGGAGCAAACAGGAUUAGAUACCCUGGUAGUC
RNAcentral lists this ribosomal RNA (465 nucleotides) under uncultured Klebsiella sp. Its description in RNAcentral is "bacterial SSU rRNA". It matches the Rfam family "Bacterial small subunit ribosomal RNA", at positions 338 to 795 of the family's 1533-position model. The record is from RNAcentral. Lineage: Bacteria; Pseudomonadati; Pseudomonadota; Gammaproteobacteria; Enterobacterales; Enterobacteriaceae.